GACGGGUUUACGACCUCGAUGUUGGAUCAGGGUAUCCCAGUGGUGCAGCCGCUACUAAAGGUUCGUUUGUUCAACGAUUAAAACCCUACGUGAUCUGAGUUCAGACCGGAGUAAUCCAGGUCAGUUUCUAUCUAUGAAAAGCUUCCUCUAGUACGAAAGGACCGAGAAAGCACGGCCAAUGUCCCAUGCACGCCGUAUUUGGAAAUCUAUGAAAAACACUCAAUUGACACCCAACUUACUAUUCAACUCUAGAUAAGAGC
This 260-nucleotide ribosomal RNA is filed under the name Tlalocohyla picta (painted treefrog). RNAcentral's name for it is "partial 16S ribosomal RNA". It matches the Rfam family "Bacterial large subunit ribosomal RNA", at positions 2511 to 2829 of the family's 2925-position model. Lineage: Eukaryota; Metazoa; Chordata; Amphibia; Anura; Hylidae. The record is from RNAcentral.